This 414-nucleotide ribosomal RNA is filed under the name uncultured bacterium. Its description in RNAcentral is "bacterial SSU rRNA". It matches the Rfam family "Bacterial small subunit ribosomal RNA", at positions 945 to 1359 of the family's 1533-position model. The record is from RNAcentral.
CUUAAUUCGAUGCAACGCGAAGAACCUUACCUGGUCUUGACAUCCACGGAAGUUUUCAGAGAUGAGAAUGUGCCUUCGGGAACCGUGAGACAGGUGCUGCAUGGCUGUCGUCAGCUCGUGUUGUGAAAUGUUGGGUUAAGUCCCGCAACGAGCGCAACCCUUAUCCUUUGUUGCCAGCGGUCCGGCCGGGAACUCAAAGGAGACUGCCAGUGAUAAACUGGAGGAAGGUGGGGAUGACGUCAAGUCAUCAUGGCCCUUACGACCAGGGCUACACACGUGCUACAAUGGCGCAUACAAAGAGAAGCGACCUCGCGAGAGCAAGCGGACCUCAUAAAGUGCGUCGUAGUCCGGAUUGGAGUCUGCAACUCGACUCCAUGAAGUCGGAAUCGCUAGUAAUCGUGGAUCAGAAUGCCA